RNAcentral lists this ribosomal RNA (367 nucleotides) under uncultured eukaryote. RNAcentral describes it as "partial 18S ribosomal RNA". It matches the Rfam family "Eukaryotic small subunit ribosomal RNA", at positions 592 to 976 of the family's 1831-position model. The record is from RNAcentral.
CAAUAGCGUAUAUUAAAGUUGUUGCAGAUAAAAAGCUCGUAGUUGAAGAUACGAACGCUUACACUAGAACAAAGUUUCCGGUGUCUGCGUUCACUUUUCGCAAAGACAGCCUGGCCCAUUAGUUUGGGUCUUGUUUGAGUUGCGUCAUUUACUGUGAACAAAUUGGGGUGUUUAAAGCAGGCCUACGUUUGAAUAUACUAGCAUGGAAUAAUAAGAUAUGAUCUUGGUCGAAUUUUGUUGGUGACUACCAAGAUAAUGAUUGAUAGAAACUGUUGUGGGUAUUCGUAUGAGCAUGUCAGAGGUGAAAUUCUUGGAUUUUGAUCAGACGAACUACUGCGAAAGUAUUUACCAAGGAUGUUUUCAUUAA